Molecule: ribosomal RNA, 253 nt
Filed under: uncultured bacterium
Lineage: Bacteria
Description: partial 16S ribosomal RNA
Rfam family: Bacterial small subunit ribosomal RNA
Source: RNAcentral
GACAGAGGGGGCAAGCGUUGUCCGGACUAACUGGGCGUAAAGCGUCCGCAGGCGGCACGGCAAGUGUGAGCUGAAAUCGCCCGGCUUAACCGGGCGGAGCGCUGACAAACUGCCGCGCUCGAGGCGUGCAGAGGUGCGUGGAAUUGCCGGUGUAGUGGUGAAAUGCGUAGAGAUCGGCAGGAACACCAAGGGGGAAGCCAGCGCACUGGGCACCGCCUGACGCUCAGGGACGACAGCGUGGGGAGCGAACCGG